GACGAACGCUGGCGGCGUGCUUAACACAUGCAAGUCGAACGGAAAGGCCCUGCUUUUGUGGGGUGCUCGAGUGGCGAACGGGUGAGUAACACGUGAGUAACCUGCCCUUGACUUUGGGAUAACUUCAGGAAACUGGGGCUAAUACCGGAUAGGAGCUCCUGCUGCAUGGUGGGGGUUGGAAAGUUUCGGCGGUUGGGGAUGGACUCGCGGCUUAUCAGCUUGUUGGUGGGGUAGUGGCUUACCAAGGCUUUGACGGGUAGCCGGCCUGAGAGGGUGACCGGCCACAUUGGGACUGAGAUACGGACCAGACUCCUACGGGAGGCAGCAGUGGGGAAUAUUGCACAAUGGGCGGAAGCCUGAUGCAGCAACUCCGCGUGCGGGAUGACGGCCUUCGGGUUGUAAACCGCUUUCGCCUGUGACGAAGCGUGAGUGACGGUAAUGGGUAAAGAAGCACCGGCUAACUACGUG
RNAcentral lists this ribosomal RNA (468 nucleotides) under uncultured bacterium. RNAcentral describes it as "partial 16S ribosomal RNA". It matches the Rfam family "Bacterial small subunit ribosomal RNA", at positions 28 to 507 of the family's 1533-position model. The record is from RNAcentral.